Molecule: ribosomal RNA, 474 nt
Filed under: soil bacterium 07G-06
Lineage: Bacteria
Description: bacterial SSU rRNA
Rfam family: Bacterial small subunit ribosomal RNA
Source: RNAcentral
GGAUGAACGCUGGCGGCGUGCCUAAUACAUGCAAGUCGAGCGAAUGGAUUGAGAGCUUGCUCUCAAGAAGUUAGCGGCGGACGGGUGAGUAACACGUGGGUAACCUGCCCAUAAGACUGGGAUAACUCCGGGAAACCGGGGCUAAUACCGGAUAACAUUUUGAACUGCAUGGUUCGAAAUUGAAAGGCGGCUUCGGCUGUCACUUAUGGAUGGACCCGCGUCGCAUUAGCUAGUUGGUGAGGUAACGGCUCACCAAGGCAACGAUGCGUAGCCGACCUGAGAGGGUGAUCGGCCACACUGGGACUGAGACACGGCCCAGACUCCUACGGGAGGCAGCAGUAGGGAAUCUUCCGCAAUGGACGAAAGUCUGACGGAGCAACGCCGCGUGAGUGAUGAAGGCUUUCGGGUCGUAAAACUCUGUUGUUAGGGAAGAACAAGUGCUAGUUGAAUAAGCUGGCACCUGACGGUACCUAA